AAUGCGUAAUUUCAUCAUUCAUUGUUGUGUUUCUGCUAAUAGUCGGCACCAUCUUUCGGUGCACUUGAAGGAUUGAAAUUUCAGUCGAUAACUCGAUCUACGGGUAAGGUGCCUAGUCUAUUUAUCUUCAGUCAAAUUAUGUACCCUGUAAGGUAAACUAGGUAACUAAACACACUAAAAUCUACCCUUAACAGCUGGUUCAUAUCAUUUUUUUUAAAUUCAAUGACGCAGUUAAACAACCCUCCAACAGAUGGCGUUGUACUUGAUAGAGGCAGCCACCUCGUGGCUCGAGCAUAGGUACUACAUUGUUGUGGGCAGUAACGGCAUAACAUUUUGUCGCUAGGUGCGCGUGAUUGCAACUCGAUCGGCCUCCGAGACGUCCGGCGUGUUGUCUUCAAACCAGUCGCACGUGUUUUGCCGUUCAAUAAAAACUUGUAACGAUGUGAUGAGUCUCUAAAAAAUGUGUUGAUCUUUCCUUCGAGAAUUCGUAAUUUAACGAUCCUUUUUUGAGCUUGCGGAAUCUGUUGAAUUUCCUGAGUUUGGCUCGGAGCUUCCGUACGUGCUCGGUGAUAAAAUACGAAUGUCAAAUAUCCAUUUCUUCCCUGCAAUGUUUGAGAGAGAGACGUUAAAAGCAAAGAUUUAUUAACAAAUCGAUACGCUUGUUAAGUGUUACGCCAGUGUUAUUUACGUCGUAGGAUUGAAAUUGAUUUUUUCUAAAAAUCAAGUUUAAAUUAUCUUAUUGUUCAUUAAAGAAAACUACUGAAUUUCACAUGGUGAACCGUAAGAGUAACACUUGGAAAGUGUCUUUGACGUGUGACGUACAGAAUCGACUCUGUGUAAAUUAGGAAUAAAAUUCAGUCGGACGUACUUGAAUCAGCGUCGAAAGUACGAACACAGUGAUACGUUUGAAAAUGAGAUAGUCAGGUAUCAGAAAUCACAGUGUCCCCAUGUGUACACACACGAGAAAGUAUCUCGAGGGAAUUUGUGAAAAGUGUGUUUAAUGAAAAUCUGUAAAUCCAAAGUCUUUGAUAAUCUUUUGUCUGAACGUAUACGUCUCUCAUUAUGAAUUUUAGAGGUAAACAGUGCUAUGUAUUUUUCGAAUCCAUCAUCGUUGAACCAGCUUGAUUAAAAGUUGAUAUUAAUUUACGCUCUUAAGAGCCGUGUUUAUUAAAGCCAGUUCGACGGUUCGCGUCGACGCCGCAAUUAAUAGCCUUCGUAGCCGUGAGAAACGCGUAGCAUUAACCCCCUUCGCCCCUUCUACCUUGCAGCAGCAUUAUUUUCCCAGUAUAAAACAGUACCCGAGGGGAGCUUAAACAUUUUACUAAAAUUGCAUAUGACAUCCAGCAUCGGGUCUCUUACGUUGCCUCUCAUAUCCUGUUUAUCCUCGUACGGCGUCUCAACAUCAACACUCUUCAGGCUUCCAUUGGGAGUAGUCAACCGGUAAUAUUAAAGCCGAUAAAAGUAGAGCAGAUCGAAGUAAAGUCAACGCGUAACUAGACAACCCAGUUUCUGUUAUCCGUGUUUUACCCAAGCCCGAUAGUAACGGUACACGAACGCACGGACAGACACAACACAGAAGAUUCACCAACAAGCUAAGCCGACAAAGACGUUACUCUGGAAUCGGAUUGGGGAAUCACGGCGAUUAGGUGAUGCUUUUAAUAACUGAACCGUGUGUACACACCUUAAGCUGGGAUUGAUUAACGGGUGAAUGUGAAAGCUUUGCAAGAGGACUACUUUUCAUUGAUCCUUCCUAAAAGCAAACCCAGUCAUCGAAUCGGAGCGACAGAUUGGAAAGCACACGGAAAACUUUCCUAUAAAGUAUAUAUAUAGAUAUAUAUAUAUGCAUAAAUAUUUAAUGCUGUGUUGUGCGCUUCCGGUUUAACGCGAAGUUCAAUCGAUUCUCGAAUAAAGCUGUCGAAGGAAAUGCCGAGGGCGGUUGAACACUGACGUCGUUGUAUGCAAAACUUUUGUCAACCGUUCGAACAGACGAGAAAUUUGUCUGGCGCUUUAUCCCUGGACAAUGGGUACACACGCUUGUGUAAAGAUUUACAACUCGUAAAAGAACGUGCAAACACGUGCCGUGUGUGGCUUCCACUCUUGGAAGGAAAAAGAAGACCUAGGAAGGAAGCUAACUGCGUAAGGAUAUUCCGUGCGUGUUUUCACAAUAGUGUUUGGACAUCGGAUAAUAAGGAGUGUGGUGUUACUGGAGUGUAGAGUGCAGUGUAUAGUGGAUGUUUGAUCGGGGUGGUGGGAGUGAUGAUCCUUGGAGGAUAACGUAGGUUAUCACUGUAAUUGGGAAUUGGAGUUCUUUUACUUCUGGAAACAUCAAUAUGGAAAUUUUUUAUCGUUGAAACAGAACGAGGACACUGGAUGCCAUCAUAUCUCGUUCAAGCUAACUCCGCUGGGAAAUAAAAUUCAAAAAAAGGCCUACAUCAUAACUCAGGGCUAAUUUUAAGUUAGUUUAAUGCUCUUCGUUAAAAAAAGGAAAACGUGCGCUGGUUACUACUUCAUAUCGAACUAGCGCAGCCACAGGCAUUUUCUUUUUUCUUCUGAAGAGCAUCCAAUUUUUACAAUAGAACAUUAGGACAGUCUGAAAUAAGUGUUUGAUGACGAUUUACGCAUUUUUAAAAGAUUUUUUUACGGUGUCACUAGCUUGAAUAUGGUGAUUACCUUCAUCGAUAGACUGGCUCUAUGGAAUCUGACGAUGAUCUAUGGGAUCUGAUAAUUUAUAUGGAAAAGAGUGACCUAGAUUUCUUUAAAGAAACUCGUAUCGUUGGAUGUUCAUUUAUUCGUUCGAGACAGCUCAUACUUCUGGGAUUAUCAUAGUACCGCUGCUGUAUUCAUUCCCCAACCCGAAUUAUUCUCCGGACGCUGGAUGUAUUAUUCAUAACUGUUCCAACAGUUUAUGGGGGAGACAAUAUUUUUUGUAUGCUGGUACUAGAAGGACUUGCUGCACACGCGCUGGAUCAGAAUCUCGUGAACGAUUGAAAAAUGAUUUUUCGUAUACUUGUAUUACUAAAGUAAUCAGAUUUAUACGUGCGUUUAGUGCGCGAUAAAGGACAGCAAUGGUACGGCACUCUGAACGAAUAUAGUAUCACUGCAUAUCUACUUUUUUUUUUUUAGAUUUGACUUGAAUCCUGGAAUAGGACAAUCUCAAACUCGAUUUGAUUCUUCAAGCUGAGUACGUGGUCGCAUGGGACACGUUCACCCGUUCUGGACCGGAAUCUCUACGUGUUUACCAUGCUCAAGGCAAUUGCGAAAAGGCGUUUAGAAAAUUGCCCUCCGUAUACGUCGUAUGCUCGAGGGUUAAAUUGUUGCUGUUUGCGUUGACAGGCCUGUCAAACAUGACGUUUACGUUUUACGCAACGUGGAUAUUCGUAUAAGCGUACUAUGUAGUUUAACGUUGGAUCGCAUGUUAGAGACACAUUCAUUGAUCAGUCGGCAGACGUCGCCAACGCCAAGUCCCUUUAAGGAUGACGAGAAUUUAUGAUUCAAUUGCCAUUUAUAAGAGUCCGUGGCGAAUUCCGGAAUUACUCAACCUCCCAUGGUGGCUUGAAUUCAUAAGGGACUAUACAAAGUACCUUCGUACAUGCUUCAAAGGCUGGACAUUAUUAUUGGGCUGCUGCUGAAGGGAACCGAUAAAGGAAAAUUUGAUACGGGGAUCGAAUUAAACUAUAAAGUUAUUUAUUGAGCACGAAAAAAGUAAUGAUGUAUCGGGAAUUCAUAUGGGAUGAUAUAUUUAACGAUCAACCAUUUCUUGGAUUAUUUACCAAUUUAUAUCCGGUUGUGUGUACACAGGCAAUAUUUGUCUUACGGACGGGUUAUCGUUUCGUCAUGUAUUCUAGACUGCGAUAAAUAUUAACUUGGAUUUUUGCCUGUUUAAUCAUACUGACUUUUAUCGUUUGAAUCGUGUAUUACCGGUGAUUCGAUUGCGAAGGCUGGCAAACGCCACGUUUAUUCGAUGUCUUGAAAUUUAUUGAACGCGCUUUAAGGAAAUCCACGCUGUCACUUUACAUUCCCGUCCAUCUAGUCUGUCUCUCGCUUUGGCAUAAUGGGUAUAAAAUUAAAUGAGAUAGCUGGCUUAAUAUCGUGAUAAUUAUAUCUCGGGCUAAGAUCGAUGCCUAUAAGUCUGUCAUUAAUAUUUAUUAAGGUCGUUCCAUCAAUCCGUUAUGAAUUAUAGAUAAAUCCAGUAUGUUUUUUUAUUAUGUAAUUAUUAUAAUCGUCAUGGUGUUUGACGUUACAUUUUCGUAAUAGAAAGUCGUGCGUUUUGUUUUUUGUUACCGAGUAUUUUAUUAACUGCGGUAUCGCGAUGCUAAAAUACAUUAAUGGUAUUUAGUACCUGUAAUCAAACCGGGGUGUAUGUAUGUACACGUACUAAACCCGGUAAGUGCGUUUAUCUCUAAUGGCUAUUUUACAGCAGCUAGUAGUAGAGUCCCGUGCUUGUCAGACGAGUCAUUUAGUCACGGGAGGCUAGGAACGUUCAGUCGGAAUAGGACAAUGAAUCUUUUAUUGUAAAUUUGAAUUUCGCGCUUUAUUCUAUGAAAGUCUCAACGGUGUACAUACAUGUGGAUAUUGAGCGCAACGCUUUCAUGUAUUUUUUGUGCGACUCCAGACUUUCGAAGGAGGCAGAAAAAUAUCAGGCGUGGAGUUAAAAUCUUUUGUCAAAUUGAACGAGUAUUUAAUAGACUCACUGGUGGUUCGUAAUUUUUGUCAAUUUCAAAUAAAGGAGGGAGGUGUAAACUGUGCAAAAUAUUUUAAGUGGUUUGCCGAAUUUAGACUCGGCUGGUCUGAGCGGGGGCCUUCAAAUGUAAUUGAUAUUGAAAGCGACAGUUUGUAAAUUUACUUUGCUGCGUUAGAUUAGCCAGUGCGAAUUCUUCUUUAGCUUUGAAUCGAACGUUCAUGUGCUUUGGAACGUGCCGACAGUUGAUUGGAUUUGAUAAUCUUCGUCUGUCGAGAGCCUAGAGAGCUAAUUAGGUUUAUUUCGUUAAUUCUAAUCGUGAAUUCAAUAGGAAAUCAUGAAUUUCAUUCUGAGGUUGAUGUCUGAAUAUUGGAAAACUAGGUGUUCACGGACCACACCGAAAUUUGUAUAAGUUUUGAAAUCAAGCGAAAGCAGUGCGAAAAGUACUAUUCGAAGUAUGGGGUACGUAGAAGAAUGUGUAAAUAAGUUUUAUUUAAUGACAUUUUCAUUCGAAAUCUUGAGGCAGGAACGUUAUUCGCCAUUUGCAUGGUAAAAGAAUGAACUUUGAUGUUGCCAAUGUAACCAAUUCAAGAAAAGUCUUUUUAACACCCUGAAAUCUGGUGCACACAUGAAUAUAUGAAAAUUCACCUUAUCGUUACUACGGUCAAAUAUUUUAUCUCAGUCUUCAAUAUUUAAAUUUAACGUUCACGCGAGUCUUCGAGAGAAUACACUUUUCCUCGUUGUAUUUAGGUUGGCGUUCCUGCAACAGUUAUGGUGUUUCUGUCAUACUUAUUUCUAGUCGGCGACUUUUUUGGGCUACUUUCGACCAUUCUCUCUGACGAUAAUGAAUAGGCUGUCAAAUAUUCAUACAUGCUGCGUGCAUCGCGAAUAAAUUAUUUAUUCACUUGAUAUUAUACAAUGCUAGUAUACUUCCUUACCGACCGAGCCUAUAUCAGUGAGGCCUAAGUUAGAUUUCAUUAUACAUUAAAAUGUAUGAUGUCAAUUUUAUAUAGCGUUUCCCUCAAAUUAAUGCUAUCUUUUGAAUGCAUUGUACAUAUUGUCGACUCGCACGGUUUCCCAUUUAAGGUCGAUACACGAAGCACCGCAUGGAGGAGGUCGUUAAAGCUUCGGUUUUAUGCUAGUAAAGCACGCUAGAUAUACCUGGUAACGCAGUAAUAUUCGAGAUUUUACAAAAACAGGUUGUAAAAAUCACGAGUAAAAAGCUUUCUAAAGAUUGUGAAAACUUUCAGUACUAAUUACUUUUGAACAGGAUUUGAACUCACUCUCCGAAAGUUUAUUGUCCGACGUUUAUACUUAUCGUAUUUAUUUUCGUUCGGUCAGGCUAAGAUUUUCUGAAAAAUAAAGGAAUUUUCAACUUGCGACGGUUUCCUACUUCGGAGACAUCUGAUUGGUAAAGAAGAAACACGUGGAGUCUUCGUUAACUUAAAUUUAAUAUAAAUCAGAGGAAAUUGCGACGACUAGCGUGAUGAACUUACCGGAAGUGAACCUGCUGAUAAAAUAGUCUCCUUCGAGCGACUUCCGGACGUUCUCGUCGCGUUGACAACAAUAACUGCGUGUAUUCAGAUCGGUUAUUGGAAAUAUUCCACAGCGUGAUUUUCUUUUUUGCACGUAGAAAACUUUUUUCUGCAAGUUCACAAAUUUGAUCAAGGUAUUGAUUUUUGGUUAUCACUUUUUUUUUCUUCUGAGAGUUGCAAUAUUCUGAACUAAUACCUAUUACAUCCGAAACUUUCGUAGCUCUAUGUGCAAUCUCAAAAUAUUUUUCUUUUUGUAUUUUUCAAAACUUUUCUGAAGCAUUAACGAAUUUAUAACGCACUUAUAAGCUGUACAUCGAAGCACACAAGCCCCAGCUUAGAUGCAUUAGGAAACUGGUGCAAGAGCAUCAUCAUGAGAAGAUUGAUGAAAAUGGUUAAAGCUUCGUGUGCAGGUAUAAGCAGCAACCAAUUACCUUGCUCUUUACUUUAUAACAUCAGGGAUCAGGUGGCGUCCGUAUUAAUUUGAAGAGAGCACUGAGCUUUUAUCGCACGUUUCGUUGCCAUCCGGAAUUAUACCUAGAUACGUAACAUGAUAAAAGCACCGAUUCUUCCUCAGACUUUGAUAUUCCAACGAUAUCCAACUUUAGCCAAAGCAGAGGAGAAACUUUCCAAUUCAACGUCCUCCUUCGUGAGAGAGCACAGCAUCCUUCAAGUCGUGACGCUGAAGUCUUGUCCUUGGAUACUGAUCUAAUUAUAGCAUCAGGUGGUUCAAAACCUAGUUGGCCAUCAUCCAAUCGCCGUAGAGUCACUCUAGGAUCGACCAGCUUCUCUAUGCGCGUUGCACAAGACUCCCCAGAGGGUCAAUGCACACAGUUAGUUCACAUGGUCACACUUUGACCUGGUCACGGCAGAUAUACAGAAAGCGUGGAUAGAUUGCAUAUUGUGUAAACAAUUGUAAACUGCGAUCAAAGACUAUGCGGUCUGCGUGCUUCUCGUGGCUUAGGAAGAAUCGAUUAUCGACACUUAACUAUCAUCACGUCCAGUGCGUGUCAUGGAGGUCGUGCGAAGUUUUUGAUUGAUAUACCUGAAGCUACGUUGCUUUCAAUAAUUUAUGAUAAUCCCUGUUAAUUUCUGGCUGUCGUGGACGCUUGUAUUAUCCGAUGCAAAGCUUUAAAUACCAUAGAGCAAAAGAUUACCGGAUGAACACACAGGGGACCUGUUGAGGCAGAAUAUUAAAACUUUUGAUCCCUUUGGAUAUCGUCCAGACCAUAUUACACGUUUGAGUAUUCCAUGAUUAUCCAGAUGUCAGCUAUCUGCCUUCUGUUGGAACGAGAGACUUUGGUCUUUUUUUGAUGUACAGUAUUUUUCAUCAUCGCUAUGAAGUUAUAAAAUUGAGUCUUCCUUUGUUUCCCAUUUAGAUGAAUUUAUGGAUACGACUGAAUACGCCGGAUUUCAAAGAGAUAUCUCCCUAGACGUUUCACAUCCUACUGCAAAAGCUUAUUCAAAUAAUUCAUGAUGAUGGUAGGAAAGGGUUGGAUUUAAUUUUCGGAAUUACCACGCACUUUUCUCUGCUUCCACAUUUCUUUCUGUAUCCUGCUACUUUAAAGAGAAAGCCUGAAAGUCAUUAUCAUAUUGACAAGCACCUAUGGGUCGGCGUAUUCUUGGGCUCAUAUCCAUUUCGGUUGCCACGGGUUUCAUGAGAAUGCUAAAGAGACGGUAGAAGUAGGAGCAUCGAAACAAGAUGACUGUACUGAAUUACCGCGUAUUGUGGAAACUAAGGUGUGCCACUAGUUUUCAAGCACGUAAUCCGAAUUCUUUUUACAAAAAAAUAUAUGCGAGUUCUUGAAUGCAGCUAUCUCAUCAUGGAAGGAUUCUCUCACGAUAUCUUUAAGACGCUGGAACACAAUCUUGCAAGGAGAUAAAUUUCUAUUUAAUGUCUCAGAAACAUUCGUUAUUCCUUCAUCCGUCCUUUUUCUCAGUCGAGCUUACUAAUGAGUGCAUAUUUUUUAAAUUAGUUACUCCCUUGGUAUUACUACCAUCAUGGAGCUUUGUGCUAAUUGUGCUUUCAAAUAAAUUGAAAUGUAAAUACA
Molecule: RNA transcript, 8261 nt
Organism: Cephus cinctus (wheat stem sawfly)
Lineage: Eukaryota; Metazoa; Arthropoda; Insecta; Hymenoptera; Cephidae
Exons: 6
Source: RefSeq, a predicted model, not a curated record